Long non-coding RNA from Carassius auratus (goldfish), 1369 nucleotides. RefSeq lists it as uncharacterized. NCBI's taxonomy places the organism in Eukaryota, Metazoa, Chordata, Actinopteri, Cypriniformes, Cyprinidae. The transcript is spliced from 9 exons. The record is from RefSeq and is a predicted model, not a curated record.
AGACAGCACAUGUACGUCUGGCCGACGUCGGCCCAAUAUCGAAACGUCGGCCUCUAUACCUAAAACAUCUAUAAAACAUCGGCCUGGUGGAGGCCGAUAUAAUUUGGUCAGUGCUCUGUUCUCCAGCUCAUCAAUCGUCGGCCCUGAGUUGGUUCACGACCGCGGGCCGAUGCCGCGCUUCUCUGUGUGCGCGUGCCCAGUAUUCGUCUCUUUUAGCCACCCAGAGAGAGAAGAGGAUAAUCCCAGCGACAUCUGUGGCUCUCAGGCUUCCAGAAAUAAUCCGGUGAAAUAAUAUGGUGAGCUAUUGUUGCUGUUGCUUCUGAACUACAAAAUGAUUUUUAAAUGUAUUAUUGAAUGAGACUGUACAUUAUAAAUGUAAUGCUUUAACUCUAGAUGUUUGUUUGUGUGAAUGCUGUGUGUGCUGUGAAUCCUGCGCGAGCGGGGAGCAGAGUUGCCAUGGAAACGGGGCAUCAACACAAAAACCGUUGUUGACAAGCAGUAAUCUCCGUCUCUCGCUGCGGUUUACACUGUUUUAGAUUUAUUUUAUAGAAACGGUUUAGUGUCUUCGGAAAUGUCCGUUAUCAUUUUAGCAGUUUUCAGAUGUUUGUUUGUGUAAAUGCUGUGUGCGCGUUGAGUCCUGCUCAAGCGGGGAGCAGAGUUGCCAUGGAAACGGGGCGUCAACACAAAAACCGUUACUGGCAAACAGUAAUCUCCGUCUCUCGCUGCAGUUUACACUGUUUUGGGAGGACAGAAAGAAACUCUACAGAACAGAAGUGAAGCUCCAAGAUUUCAAAAUUUCUGAAGGGAGAUUCUGACUUAGAAAUACAGGUGACCUGAAGAAGCUCAUGAAAAACAUGAAUAUGCCUUUUUCAGAAUACAUUUCACCAAUUUUAAGAAGUCCCUGACAUCAUAACAUGGCUUGUUUUGUUCCUGGACUCUUCAGUGAUGACGAUCAGAGUCUGAGUGAACCUGCUGUCAGACAGGUUGGCCUGAUUGACGAUGCCAUCAUCCAUCGCCGAUAGCUGAUAGACAUCACGAUGCUGCGCUGGCAAACAGCGUCAUCAGCUCCAGUAUCUCGCCCGUGCAUCUGUUGUCAUGCGACAGAGAAGUCACGUUCUAUAGACAGUUGUGAGGGUGCUGACAGCUGGUUGCCCAGGCUAUGGAUUAAAGGUAAUACUGUUGGCCAGCAGAGCCCUGCUCACCCUGACGGCCCACCGCUGCUGUCAGAUAACAUCUCCAAGAUGCUAUAAACUGCAGGACCAGAUGGCCAUCCCAAGGUUUCUAGAGAUUACACCAGCUCCAGACUGAAUCCAAACUUACUUGUGAAGACUUCAGAUGAUACCAACGCUCACAAAGACUACAGACGACA